UGGGGAAUAUUGCACAAUGGGCGCAAGCCUGAUGCAGCCAUGCCGCGUGUAUGAAGAAGGCCUUCGGGUUGUAAAGUACUUUCAGCGGGGAGGAAGGCGAUAAGGUUAAUAACCUUGUCGAUUGACGUUACCCGCAGAAGAAGCACCGGCUAACUCCGUGCCAGCAGCCGCGGUAAUACGGAGGGUGCAAGCGUUAAUCGGAAUUACUGGGCGUAAAGCGCACGCAGGCGGUCUGUCAAGUCGGAUGUGAAAUCCCCGGGCUCAACCUGGGAACUGCAUUCGAAACUGGCAGGCUAGAGUCUUGUAGAGGGUGGUAGAAUUCCAGGUGUAGCGGUGAAAUGCGUAGAGAUCUGGAGGAAUACCGGUGGCGAAGGCGGCCCCCUGGACAAAGACUGACGCUCAGGUGCGAAAGCGUGGGGAGCAAACA
This 427-nucleotide ribosomal RNA is filed under the name uncultured bacterium. RNAcentral's name for it is "partial 16S ribosomal RNA". It matches the Rfam family "Bacterial small subunit ribosomal RNA", at positions 355 to 774 of the family's 1533-position model. The record is from RNAcentral.